RNAcentral lists this unclassified non-coding RNA (400 nucleotides) under soil metagenome. Its description in RNAcentral is "partial contains 5.8S ribosomal RNA, internal transcribed spacer 2, and large subunit ribosomal RNA". The stretch from base 1 to 122 matches the Rfam family "5.8S ribosomal RNA", at positions 35 to 154 of the family's 154-position model. The record is from RNAcentral.
GAUGAAGAACGCAGCGAAAUGCGAUACUUGGUGUGAAUUGCAGAAUCCCGUGAACCAUCGAGUCUUUGAACGCAAGUUGCGCCUCAAGCCAUUAGGUUGAGGGCACGUCUGCCUGGGCGUCACAUAUCGUUGCCUGAUGCCAGUUUCCUCGUGUUGGGUGACUGUGCAGGGCGAAUGAUGGCUUCCCGUGAGCAUUGUUGCCUCAUGGUUGGUUGAAAAUUGAGUCCUUGGUAGGGAGCGCCGUGAUAGAUGGUGGUUGAGUGACGAACGAGACCCAAUCAUGUGAGACCCCUACCGAAUUUGGCCUUCAUGACCCACAUGCGUCUUUGGAACGCUCAUGACGAGACCUCAGGUCAGGCGGGGCUACCCGCUGAGUUUAAGCAUAUCAAUAAGCGGAGGA